Molecule: transfer RNA, 76 nt
Filed under: Actinomycetes bacterium
Lineage: Bacteria; Bacillati; Actinomycetota; Actinomycetes
Description: Actinobacteria bacterium tRNA-Thr
Rfam family: tRNA
About the family: Transfer RNA (tRNA) molecules are approximately 80 nucleotides in length. Their secondary structure includes four short double-helical elements and three loops (D, anti-codon, and T loops). Further hydrogen bonds mediate the characteristic L-shaped molecular structure. tRNAs have two regions of fundamental functional importance: the anti-codon, which is responsible for specific mRNA codon recognition, and the 3' end, to which the tRNAs corresponding amino acid is attached (by aminoacyl-tRNA synthetases). tRNAs cope with the degeneracy of the genetic code in two manners: having more than one tRNA (with a specific anti-codon) for a particular amino acid; and 'wobble' base-pairing, i.e. permitting non-standard base-pairing at the 3rd anti-codon position.
Source: RNAcentral
GCCGGAGUAGCUCAGCUGGUAGAGCAUUCGCCUUGUAAGCGAAAGGCCCCGGGUUCGAUCCCCGGCUCCGGCUUCA